This 478-nucleotide ribosomal RNA is filed under the name uncultured Fusobacterium sp. Its description in RNAcentral is "bacterial SSU rRNA". It matches the Rfam family "Bacterial small subunit ribosomal RNA", at positions 28 to 533 of the family's 1533-position model. The record is from RNAcentral. Lineage: Bacteria; Fusobacteriati; Fusobacteriota; Fusobacteriia; Fusobacteriales; Fusobacteriaceae.
GAUGAACGCUGACAGAAUGCUUAACACAUGCAAGUCAACUUGAACUUCGGUUUGGGUGGCGGACGGGUGAGUAACGCGUAAAGAACUUGCCUCACAGAUAGGGACAACAUUUGGAAACGAAUGCUAAUACCUGAUAUUAUGAUUUUAGGGCAUCCUAGGAUUAUGAAAGCUAUAUGCACUGUGAGAGAGCUUUGCGUCCCAUUAGCUAGUUGGAGAGGUAACGGCUCACCAAGGCGAUGAUGGGUAGCCGGCCUGAGAGGGUGAUCGGCCACAAGGGGACUGAGACACGGCCCUUACUUCUACCGUAGGCAGCGAUGGGGAAUAUUGUACCAUGGACCAACAUUCUGAUCCCGCAAUUGUGUGUGCACAAUGAAGGUCCUCGGAAUGAAAAGUGCUUUCAGUUGGGAAGAAAAAGAUGACGGUACCAGUCCAAGAACUGUCGGGGACGAUCAUGCCAGCAGGCCCGGUACUACUUAUC